GUCUCUGUAGCUCAGUUGGUUAGAGUGCUGCACCAGAAUCACAGGACAGCAGGUUUGAUUCCUGCAAGAAGGACU
Non-coding RNA from Paramuricea clavata, 75 nucleotides. NCBI's taxonomy places the organism in Eukaryota, Metazoa, Cnidaria, Anthozoa, Malacalcyonacea, Plexauridae. The record is from the annotation of a GenBank genome assembly.